Molecule: long non-coding RNA, 757 nt
Filed under: Cyanistes caeruleus (blue tit)
Lineage: Eukaryota; Metazoa; Chordata; Aves; Passeriformes; Paridae
Description: lncRNA (ENSCCEG00000014179.1)
Source: RNAcentral
AGGCAUGGAGGAAAUGGUUUCUAACAUAAGAAAAUGCACGUUAGAACUUCACUAAGACAAGACAGAGACCUCUCAAACAUCAACAGGACAGCAACUUCAGGAGUUCAGGAUUUAAGUCAGGGGUAGAGCUGCUUUCCAAGGAGGUAACAGACCAGCACAGGAUCCUGUGUUCCCACACAAGCACUAAAAUGCAAUGCUCAGAGCAGCUUCCAGCAUCCUCUCCCUGAGCCUCUCAGUUGUCCCUGAAAGGACAUCAGAAAUGAGGCAGAUGAGCAGGAAGAGAAGAUGACCCAGCUGCCUCAUCACGGGGCGCCAGAGCCAAACCUAGCAGCCAAAAGAUGCUCACUCGUGAUCUGUCUGCAGCUCCCUCAGAGCAGGCUGUUGGAGGGAUAUCAGUCAGACUGGCAGGACUUUGCUGAUAAAGAACUAAAGAGCACCUGAGGCUUCAGCCUGCUGGAGGAGCAAGCACUGCAGAGGCCGUCAGGCGUCACCCGGCCGGGCUUCUGCUUUGAGUCCUACGUGUGCUCAGCAGGGCCGACCACAGGAUGGUGAACUCUGCCAGCUGAUUAAGUUGGUUUCUAUAUCUGGUUGCCAGUGUCAGGCAUGAGAGAAAAUUAGCUAAUUUCCAGGGUUGCUAGCAAGUGACUAAUGCUUGGAAAAAGAGCAAUGUGAGGUUAAUUUAUCAUCCGAUUUUAAAAAGGUGCAAGUUUAAAUACUAAUAAUGUGGAACGGGAAAUAAAGACCCAGCAAAUCAGCA